Molecule: long non-coding RNA, 1204 nt
Filed under: Anas platyrhynchos platyrhynchos (common mallard)
Lineage: Eukaryota; Metazoa; Chordata; Aves; Anseriformes; Anatidae
Description: lncRNA (ENSAPLG00000029494.1)
Source: RNAcentral
GUUUAGAAACAUUAAUAACCUUUCUUGUAAAUCAGCACACAGAUGAUAGAAGUACAUCAUAAAGCUGGAGAGAUUUCAAGAGAGAAUUUAUGGAAAAACAUGGAUUUUUGAGCAUUGAUACAAAAUCAGCCAAUUCUUGAUAUUUCCACCUUUCUGUCUUUCCCAUAUUUUAGUCUUAAUCUAUGGAAUUGCCCUUUUUUCUUUUGUAGGCAUUAGUCAAAAAUGUAAAAUAGUGAUUAAAAGAGAGAGAGCUCCUGGUAAAUUCCCCGAUUAAUGAGAAAGUUUGCCUGGCAUUCGGUGGAGGUCACUUUCAUUUGCUGUCUAAUAUUUUGUGAGAAUUGCAGAAGACAAGAGACAGGUUUCCCGUGAAAGCCACGUCUGCUGCUCCAGAGAUUCCCUGGCAGUGCUGUUCCAGGUGACUGAUCUUUCACUUCUCUCAUGAAUGGGACUGAGCUUGACAACUUUCUGUUCCCCAAGACUAUAGAAGUUGCAGUUCAUUAAUGUUUUAUUAUUAUUUUAUUUUUUUUUCCAAAGGUAGUUGCUCUGAUUUACAACCAAGAUUUAUUUAUUUAUUUAUUUAUUUAUUUAAUUAUUUUUUGAAGAGGCACCAUUUCACUCCAUGGCCAUUGGUUUCACACAGGUGCUUGGCAGAGCCUCCAGGAGAUCACACCUCUUGCGAUGCAGGACAGAAGCUCCCACACCCUGGACAUCCUCAGGACCUACCACAUCCACCAGGUGGCUUCUCCAGGGUAGACAUAGAUACGCGCAUGUCUGAAGACCAACAGAAGACCAGCUGGUGGGAUCGUAAAGACAACUUUCCUACAAAUGUUACAGGCACAAUACCCGGAGUAAGUAUUUACCUCCCCCCCUCCCCAAAAUGAUUCAACUUUAAACCACUCCAUCCUCAGGACUCCACAGCCAAGUACUAGACAUACAUGUGCAGCUGUAGUGUGGCCCUGUAGACAUUUUUGUACAUUUUUGUAUGUCAUUUGCUUCAGGACAGCUGGGAGAUCUAAUCCCAUAGAGAGAGAAUCAACAACAACUAAAUGGCAUCAAGGAGAGUGCAUCUCUCCCUCUCAUUUCCAUAUUAUCCCUUGGCACUUUGCUACACUCAAAAGACUUUCUGUGGUACCAAACACCCCAGUAUUUCUGAGAGCAGGGGUGGCUUUGCUGCAAGGUAGUAAGAAAAAUCAUGCAUUUUGAU